GACGAACGCUGGCGGCGUGCUUAACACAUGCAAGUCGAACGGAAAGGCCCUGCUUUUGUGGGGUGCUCGAGUGGCGAACGGGUGAGUAACACGUGGGUAACCUGCCCUUGACUUUGGGAUAACUUCAGGAAACUGGGGCUAAUACCGGAUAGGAGCUCCUGCUGCAUGGUGGGGGUUGGAAAGUUUCGGCGGUUGGGGAUGGACUCGCGGCUUAUCAGCUUGUUGGUGGGGUAGUGGCUUACCAAGGCUUUGACGGGUAGCCGGCCUGAGAGGGUGACCGGCCACAUUGGGACUGAGAUACGGCCCAGACUCCUACGGGAGGCAGCAGUGGGGAAUAUUGCACAUUGGGCGGAAGCCUGAUGCAGCAACGCCGCGUGCGGGAUGACGGCCUUCGGGUUGUAAACCGCUUUCGCCUGUGACGAAGCGUGAGUGACGGUAAUGGGUAAAGAAGCACCGGCUAACUACGUG
This 468-nucleotide ribosomal RNA is filed under the name uncultured bacterium. RNAcentral describes it as "partial 16S ribosomal RNA". It matches the Rfam family "Bacterial small subunit ribosomal RNA", at positions 28 to 507 of the family's 1533-position model. The record is from RNAcentral.